This 2771-nucleotide ribosomal RNA is filed under the name Klebsiella pneumoniae. Its description in RNAcentral is "bacterial LSU rRNA". It matches the Rfam family "Bacterial large subunit ribosomal RNA". The record is from RNAcentral. Lineage: Bacteria; Pseudomonadati; Pseudomonadota; Gammaproteobacteria; Enterobacterales; Enterobacteriaceae.
AGCGUACACGGUGGAUGCCCUGGCAGUCAGAGGCGAUGAAGGACGUGCUAAUCUGCGAAAAGCGUCGGUAAGGUGAUAUGAACCGUUAUAACCGGCGAUGUCCGAAUGGGGAAACCCAGUGCAAUUCGUUGCACUAUCGUUAACUGAAUACAUAGGUUAACGAGGCGAACCGGGGGAACUGAAACAUCUAAGUACCCCGAGGAAAAGAAAUCAACCGAGAUUCCCCCAGUAGCGGCGAGCGAACGGGGAGCAGCCCAGAGUCUGAAUCAGCUUGUGUGUUAGUGGAACGGUCUGGAAAGUCCGACGGUACAGGGUGAUAGUCCCGUACACCAAAAUGCACAGGUUGUGAACUCGAAGAGUAGGGCGGGACACGUGGUAUCCUGUCUGAAUAUGGGGGGACCAUCCUCCAAGGCUAAAUACUCCUGACUGACCGAUAGUGAACCAGUACCGUGAGGGAAAGGCGAAAAGAACCCCGGCGAGGGGAGUGAAAAAGAACCUGAAACCGUGUACGUACAAGCAGUGGGAGCACCUUCGGGUGUGACUGCGUACCUUUUGUAUAAUGGGUCAGCGACUUAUAUUCUGUAGCAAGGUUAACCGUAUAGGGGAGCCGCAGGGAAACCGAGUCUUAACUGGGCGUUAAGUUGCAGGGUAUAGACCCGAAACCCGGUGAUCUAGCCAUGGGCAGGUUGAAGGUUGGGUAACACUAACUGGAGGACCGAACCGACUAAUGUUGAAAAAUUAGCGGAUGACUUGUGGCUGGGGGUGAAAGGCCAAUCAAACCGGGAGAUAGCUGGUUCUCCCCGAAAGCUAUUUAGGUAGCGCCUCGUGAAUUCAUCUUCGGGGGUAGAGCACUGUUUCGGCUAGGGGGUCAUCCCGACUUACCAACCCGAUGCAAACUACGAAUACCGAAGAAUGUUAUCACGGGAGACACACGGCGGGUGCUAACGUCCGUCGUGAAGAGGGAAACAACCCAGACCGCCAGCUAAGGUCCCAAAGUCAUGGUUAAGUGGGAAACGAUGUGGGAAGGCACAGACAGCCAGGAUGUUGGCUUAGAAGCAGCCAUCAUUUAAAGAAAGCGUAAUAGCUCACUGGUCGAGUCGGCCUGCGCGGAAGAUGUAACGGGGCUAAACCAUGCACCGAAGCUGCGGCAGCGACACUAUGUGUUGUUGGGUAGGGGAGCGUUCUGUAAGCCUGCGAAGGUGACCUGUGAGGGUUGCUGGAGGUAUCAGAAGUGCGAAUGCUGACAUAAGUAACGAUAAAGCGGGUGAAAAGCCCGCUCGCCGGAAGACCAAGGGUUCCUGUCCAACGUUAAUCGGGGCAGGGUGAGUCGACCCCUAAGGCGAGGCCGAAAGGCGUAGUCGAUGGGAAACAGGUUAAUAUUCCUGUACUUGGUGUUACUGCGAAGGGGGGACGGAGAAGGCUAUGUUAGCCGGGCGACGGUUGUCCCGGUUUAAGCAUGUAGGCUGGUUAUCCAGGCAAAUCCGGAUAAUCAAGGCUGAGGUGUGAUGACGAGGCACUACGGUGCUGAAGUAACAAAUGCCCUGCUUCCAGGAAAAGCCUCUAAGCAUCAGGUAACAUCAAAUCGUACCCCAAACCGACACAGGUGGUCAGGUAGAGAAUACCAAGGCGCUUGAGAGAACUCGGGUGAAGGAACUAGGCAAAAUGGUGCCGUAACUUCGGGAGAAGGCACGCUGGUGUGUAGGUGAAGUCCCUGCGGAUGGAGCUGAGACCAGUCGAAGAUACCAGCUGGCUGCAACUGUUUAUUAAAAACACAGCACUGUGCAAACACGAAAGUGGACGUAUACGGUGUGACGCCUGCCCGGUGCCGGAAGGUUAAUUGAUGGGGUUAUCCGUAAGGAGAAGCUCUUGAUCGAAGCCCCGGUAAACGGCGGCCGUAACUAUAACGGUCCUAAGGUAGCGAAAUUCCUUGUCGGGUAAGUUCCGACCUGCACGAAUGGCGUAAUGAUGGCCAGGCUGUCUCCACCCGAGACUCAGUGAAAUUGAACUCGCUGUGAAGAUGCAGUGUACCCGCGGCAAGACGGAAAGACCCCGUGAACCUUUACUAUAGCUUGACACUGAACAUUGAGCCUUGAUGUGUAGGAUAGGUGGGAGGCUUUGAAGCGUGGACGCCAGUCUGCGUGGAGCCAACCUUGAAAUACCACCCUUUAAUGUUUGAUGUUCUAACGUUGGCCCCUUACCGGGGUUGCGGACAGUGUCUGGUGGGUAGUUUGACUGGGGCGGUCUCCUCCCAAAGCGUAACGGAGGAGCACGAAGGUUAGCUAAUCCUGGUCGGACAUCAGGAGGUUAGUGCAAUGGCAUAAGCUAGCUUGACUGCGAGCGUGACGGCGCGAGCAGGUGCGAAAGCAGGUCAUAGUGAUCCGGUGGUUCUGAAUGGAAGGGCCAUCGCUCAACGGAUAAAAGGUACUCCGGGGAUAACAGGCUGAUACCGCCCAAGAGUUCAUAUCGACGGCGGUGUUUGGCACCUCGAUGUCGGCUCAUCACAUCCUGGGGCUGAAGUAGGUCCCAAGGGUAUGGCUGUUCGCCAUUUAAAGUGGUACGCGAGCUGGGUUUAGAACGUCGUGAGACAGUUCGGUCCCUAUCUGCCGUGGGCGCUGGAGAAUUGAGGGGGGCUGCUCCUAGUACGAGAGGACCGGAGUGGACGCAUCACUGGUGUUCGGGUUGUCAUGCCAAUGGCACUGCCCGGUAGCUAAAUGCGGAAGAGAUAAGUGCUGAAAGCAUCUAAGCACGAAACUUGCCCCGAGAUGAGUUCU